Homo sapiens (human) is the source of this 550-nucleotide long non-coding RNA. The record is from Ensembl. Lineage: Eukaryota; Metazoa; Chordata; Mammalia; Primates; Hominidae.
CACUGUUUCUAAGGAAAAUGGCAAAGAAUUAUCUUUGCCAGCUGACCCAGGUGCAGUUAAGCAGUUUCAAUAAUGAGAGGUGCUUAUGUUAUCUUUGUCUGAAAAAGAAAAAUUAAAAGCUGUUUUCUCAUAUGAAGCCCAUGCUGACCUCAUUCUUUGGGAUUUCACUUCCCAGCAUUUGUCCCUGACUCCCACCUAGUGGCUUCUUCCAGCACUGCACAGGGACAAAGAACCACCACUGAUGCCACCUGAGCCCGGCCCAGGAGCCCCUUGGGAGCUGAGCGCAGAAAGAAAGCACGGACACACCUACUCCUUUCUCAUCUCUCACUCAAGUUCACACCUGUCACAGGGGAGCAGCCCAUUCUUCUGAUGGACCACAGAUGCUCCAGUGCCAGAAGAUCUGCAGUCCCAGAUGAGCAGCAGCAGUACAAGAUACAUUUCCCACUAUGUAAUCCCUCCCCUCUGCUAACAGUUGAUUCACUCUGGGGUAGACACUGGACCUAAGGUGUGCAUCCAUAGCUUGUGAAUAAAUUAAAAGUCUUUAAUGUCU